AUUCAUGCGAUGAAAAGGAUAAGUAGGUAGAAGUACCAUUCAAGAGAGCCGGUGAUGGUGGGAAUCCGGUAUGGUUUUUUAUUGAAACAGGCCUUUGAGCACUGGAUUGAAAAAGGGUUAGCCAAGUAAAUCCGGCGGUUUCUCCCGUUAAAGAGAGUAUAAAGUGGGCAUUGCCAAAAUAGGUGGUACCGCGGAAGCUAAAACCUUUCGUCCUAUAU
RNAcentral lists this non-coding RNA (218 nucleotides) under Caloramator quimbayensis. Its description in RNAcentral is "T-box sequence". It matches the Rfam family "T-box leader". Rfam says of the family: Uncharged tRNA acts as the effector for transcription antitermination of genes in the T-box leader family. T-boxes are found upstream of many aminoacyl-tRNA synthetase genes and some amino acid biosynthetic genes usually in Gram-positive bacteria. Lineage: Bacteria; Bacillati; Bacillota; Clostridia; Eubacteriales; Clostridiaceae. The record is from RNAcentral.